RNAcentral lists this unclassified non-coding RNA (244 nucleotides) under Glomus sp. RNAcentral describes it as "partial contains 5.8S ribosomal RNA and internal transcribed spacer 2". The stretch from base 1 to 65 matches the Rfam family "5.8S ribosomal RNA", at positions 84 to 154 of the family's 154-position model. Lineage: Eukaryota; Fungi; Glomeromycota; Glomeromycetes; Glomerales; Glomeraceae. The record is from RNAcentral.
GUGAAUCAUCAAAUUUUUGAACGCAAAUUGCACUCUCUUCGGAGAGUAUGCCUGUUUGAGGGUCAGCCUAUAAAAAUCGACAUCGUUGCGGGUUCGCGGGGGUGUUUGUCGGAAAUUGGGUCAUCUUAAAUCCUUUUGAUUUAAGCGACUUAAAAAUUUCUUUUGGUUCCAUGAACGGUUCUAAGAUGUAUUUCUUUACACGUUUAAGGUAUCGAAUGUUACUAGACUUGACCAUCAUAACGGA